UACGUAGGGGGCAAGCGUUGUCCGGAUUUAUUGGGCGUAAAGAGCGUGUAGGCGGCUUGGCAAGUCCGCUGUGAAAACUCGAGGCUUAACCUCGAGACGUCGGUGGAAACUGCCUGGCUAGAGUCCGGAAGAGGAGUGUGGAAUUCCUGGUGUAGCGGUGAAAUGCGUAGAUAUCUGGAGGAACACCGGUGGCGAAGGCGGCAUCCUGGACCGGUAUUGACGCUGAGGCGCGAAAGCUAGGGGAGCAAACGGG
This 253-nucleotide ribosomal RNA is filed under the name uncultured bacterium. RNAcentral's name for it is "partial 16S ribosomal RNA". It matches the Rfam family "Bacterial small subunit ribosomal RNA", at positions 524 to 776 of the family's 1533-position model. The record is from RNAcentral.